UGGGGAAUUUUGGACAAUGGGCGAAAGCCUGAUCCAGCCAUGCCGCGUGAGUGAAGAAGGCCUUCGGGUUGUAAAGCUCUUUUAGUCGGAAAGAAAGAGUUGCAAUGAAUAAUUGUGAUUUAUGACGGUACCGACAGAAAAAGCACCGGCUAACUACGUGCCAGCAGCCGCGGUAAUACGUAGGGUGCGAGCAUUGUCCGGAUUCAUUGGGCGUAAAGAGCUCGUAGGCGGCCUGCCACGUCGGAUGUGAAAACUCGGGGCUUAACCCCGAGCCUGCAUUCGAUACGGGCAGGCUAGAGUGUUGCAGGGGAGACUGGAACUCCUGGUGUAGCGGUGAAAUGCGCAGAUAUCAGGAAGAACACCGGUGGCGAAGGCGGGUCUCUGGGCAACUACUGACGCUGAGGAGCGAAAGCGUGGGGAGCAAACA
This 427-nucleotide ribosomal RNA is filed under the name uncultured bacterium. RNAcentral's name for it is "bacterial SSU rRNA". It matches the Rfam family "Bacterial small subunit ribosomal RNA", at positions 355 to 774 of the family's 1533-position model. The record is from RNAcentral.